AGAGAGAAUGACAUUUUGGGGUUGGAGGAUUCUUGAGAUGUUGAGAGAAUGAGAUGUGAGGUCUUGUAAAAGAGAACGACGACGUGGCUGUUGAAAGCGUUGAUGCGUGUGCGAGGCUGAAGUGGAUUUGUGACAAAUGAGCUUAAAGGAGGAGAGAGAAUUUCUGAUGUGGAAAAUGAAGGAAAGAGUGGUGUGAAUGGAAGGUGGCUAGAGGAGGAUCCUUAGGAUUCUCUAGCCUUGACUCCCAAGGAGAAUUGUUUCUAGACUGAUCUCUAUAGAAUGACAAUCCAUUAAUCUCAAAAGUGUCAUUUUCAAAGGUGUUUAUCAUGCCUUUAUAAG
RNAcentral lists this long non-coding RNA (339 nucleotides) under Vigna radiata. RNAcentral's name for it is "long non-coding RNA (VRAD_LNC002900)". Lineage: Eukaryota; Viridiplantae; Streptophyta; Magnoliopsida; Fabales; Fabaceae. The record is from RNAcentral.